GGGGGCGAAACGGCUUCGACAGGGUAAGGAAAAAUAAAAGUGCAAGCAGGUUAGAUACGACCUUAACAGUUCAAAAACAAUAGUUGCAAACAACAACACACACUUCGAAUCUGUCCGCUUAGCGGCUUAAUCGGGAGGCUGCUCAAAGCCUUCUAUCCAAUUUGAGCAAAAACAACAGACAAGUUGUAAAAAUCAAAACAUCUAAUGCAACAGGACGGUAAGCAUUAGAUUAUAACCGUCUACCUUUGUCAGUAAGUGAUAGAAACUGACCAAGCUUGUGAAUGACUUGAAUUUAGAUGUAUUCUGGACGCGGGUUCGACUCCCGCCGCCUCCACCA
This 337-nucleotide transfer-messenger RNA is filed under the name Candidatus Pacearchaeota archaeon. It matches the Rfam family "transfer-messenger RNA". From Rfam's summary of the family: Bacterial tmRNA, also known as 10Sa RNA or SsrA, is named for its dual tRNA and mRNA-like properties. Its role is to liberate the mRNA from a stalled ribosome. RNAcentral also lists the same sequence under 1 other name. Lineage: Archaea; Nanobdellati. The record is from RNAcentral.